Molecule: long non-coding RNA, 3346 nt
Organism: Oreochromis niloticus (Nile tilapia)
Lineage: Eukaryota; Metazoa; Chordata; Actinopteri; Cichliformes; Cichlidae
Product: immunoglobulin superfamily member 8
Exons: 7
Source: RefSeq, a predicted model, not a curated record
AGACUCUCUCUCCUCUGUCAUGCUGUCACGCAUUUCCUGCACUCACAUACAGUGGUUAAGUGUCAGUGGAGAGAAAGGACUGGUCUUACCUUCAGAAAAAACACGUGGAAAUCAAGGGAAAAGGAAAAAAGUGGAAGGAAAAUGGAAAACUAUGUCACUGCACUCACUUUUGGGAUUUUCAUGCUCAGUGGAUGCUCGGCCCGUGUGGUGACGGUGCCUUCUGGUCCAUUAAUCCGGGUGGAGGGCCAGCCAGUCUCCAUCAGAUGUGAUGUCAAAGAAUACACAGGACCUAGUGAGCAGGAUUUUGAAUGGAAUAUGUUAAAGGAUGCUAAAGGGCGGAAGACACAGAUAAUCUCCUCUUUCGACUCUCGGUACUCCGACCAGUCUUACAGCACGCGCGUGGCAUCUGGCGACAUUUCAAUGGUGCGUCUCCAAGACAAUGAGGUGGAGCUGAAGAUUGCUGAGGUGAAGUUGACGGAUGCUGGCUUCUACGAGUGUCAAACACCGAGCACCGACUACGUCAUCAGUGGAAAUUAUAUGGCUCAGGUCCAGCUCACUGUCAUUCCUAACACGCUCAAGGUGUCCCCUAAGACCCCGCCCCCUGUCAUCACUGAGGGAAGUGACCUAACUCUCUCCUGCAACGUCACCCGGGAGCUCAUCCACCCCAGAAAUUGGACCAAAAUCGUGGAGAGUACCAAAGAGAUGGGAACCGUUGCAGUUACUCCUACAAAGCCUGUAAUCCUGUACGACUCCACGCGGUGUUACAUCGUGAGCACCUUCCUCAGCCUUUAUGGGCUCAUCAUCACCAGUAUGUUCAUCAGAGAGGAGUUCUUCAGAACCAAAGUAAAGACAAACCAGGACGUCAACAGUGAACUGGAAGGUCUGGUAAUUUCUCCCUGCAGACAAGACCAUGAGACAAAAGAAGAAGAGUAGGUUUGCUGUUCUUGUACAACCUAAUGUGAUUGAAGUAUUGAAGUAACAGGAUGAAAUAUCACAACAAAAUUCUUAAUUAUGUGUCUUUGUUGCUCUGUUUUUUGAUUCCAAAGAAGUGAGCCUUAUGUUUCAGUACUGCCUUUAUUGUGCAUUACCAUCCUGCAGCAGUAUAUUAUUAAGAGGACUUUUACCAGUUUUCAGGUUCUCUUAAGGUUUUUUGGUUCGUUGAGUCUUGGUGUCAAAGACUUUAACUCUGUAGAUUAGUUAAGAUUGAUAAACUGACAGCAACUUAAAUUCUUCAUAACAAAGGUUGAAAGAAACACAAAAAACACAGAACUGAAUUUUUUAAGCACCUCAAAUGAUUACACAAUAAGAAACGAUAUUAACAGAGCUACCGUGAAGGAUCCCUAUAAUGCAACAUCUGUUUUUAGGGCGGAAGACACAGGUUAGUAUUGGAGUAACUGUAACCCUAAUUCAGAUAGAUUCAUAGUUAAAUUCUUUAUUGAUCCUACAAAGGACAUACUAUACCAUAUUAAUUUAUCCUCUCCCAAUCACAGCUGUCAUUUUAUACUUUAUAAUUGAAUGUAUCUGUAAGUAGAUUUAGGGCUUUAAAUAUGAAUGAUAACAUGAGUAAGAUUUCUGUAUUUCAUGUCAAAUAUAACAUUUACGAGAAGCUGAAACUAUUCCAGAAUAUUAACAACAAUAAUUAUACAUAAAUAUUACAUGUUAAAAAUAUAUUUUAUUUCUAAUCAAUAGUUUGUGUACCCAUCAAAGCUGCAGUCAGUAAUCAAUGAAUUGAUUAGUUGACUGAGAGAAGGUUAAUUGGCCACUUUUUAAUAAACUGCAAAUCAUUUGUGUUCAAUUUUAAAAAUUGCAAUGAGAUUUUUCUGAUUCUCAUAUAUGUUUUUUUGUUAAAUUUAAAUUGUCUGAAAUGUUUAAUUUUUAAGAUGUCAUCAUUAGUGCUGGACACAGUAGCAGUCAUUAAAUGCUUUGUAUACCAGGAGAUGAACUGUUUCGUUUUCACGUUUCAUAUAAAGUGUUUCUAAUUAUACCUGAACACACUUCUAAUCACUUGUGAGCUCACACAUCAAUAAUUUAUCAGCGACAUGGGUGUUUAGUUUUUCAUUACCAAAUUGUAGGAAUGAAUUUGACUUGUAGUAUUCAGCUGAGAGGGGCUGACUUUGACUUUAUUGGGGGGGCCUAAGGCUCAUCUGCAAUGCAGACACGCAGCCCCAACACAGAGUCUGCAAUUUUAUCUGUGAUUUUAAUAUUUAAUAUCCAAAGCUUGUCCAAUUUGAGAAACAUCUUUCGAAUCUGUGUGAAAUCUCUUAAAGCUGCAGAGGAGCAAGAUUUAGUAAAUGAACAUUAAACACACGGCAAGCCAUGUGAAUAAAUUUGACGACUAUAUGGAACUUUUGGAGGCAAAAUAAACAUAAAAAAUUUUGAAACGCUAUACGCAUUUUAUAAAUAUAAGUAAAAAUAAGGAUAUUAGCGAUGAUUAAAAACUAAAAAGUUUAAAAGUUGGUUCUUUUACUAUUUUUUCUUACAUUUUAUUUAAUUGUUAAUUUUUUAAUGAUUAAUUUAUUUCAUAUUCAACAUUUUGUGCAUGAAUUCUUUGCAGCUUUUAAAAUUUUGAAAACGAAUGCUGCAGCUUUAAGUUUUUAUAUCGUCUGCCUUGUUUUUCAUAAUUUGUUUGUUUGUUUACACUUCUCCAAGUUCUUUGACCUGUCAUGUUAGAUGGUGCUUUAAUCCAAGUUAAUUUGUUCCUGUACGAAUGUUUUGCUUCAUUAUUAUUAUCUGUAAAACUGAGUCUUUGUUGUUGUUUUUGUUUUGUUUUGUUUCCAGAUAUGAAACGUAUCAUUAAAAAACUCAGUAAAACUCAGUUUGAAGGUUUGCAGAUCAGCAAACAGAAGCAGAUUUUGGACAAAUCUGCUACCUAAUGAAUUUAAGGUGAAAUACAUCAGGGGGGAAAAAAGCUUCUAAAUGUUAUCUUGAUAUAAGGAAUUAUAUGAAGGAUAGAUAUGAAUAUGGGAAUCGUAAUUGCUUGUAAUUAAAUGAUUUAAAAGAAUAUCUGCAUCUACCUUUGAAAGAAUUUCUUUAGUGGUCUUUAAAUAAAAGAAAUAUAAGGUUAUUUUUAGAAUGAAAUAAAGAUUAUUUUUUAAGGUGUGAAAUUAUUUAAAAACUGUUUAGGAAAAUAAAAUCCACAGUUAAAGUAAUUAAAGAUUAAAGGAUGAAAUAUAUCACAAUUAUUAUAUUCUAUCUGUGAGAUGAAAUACAACACAUGUUAAUGAAUGUUUUUUGUUUGUUUCUCAAUUUGGGGGGUUGGAUAUUCAGUAUUUGUAAAAAUGUGUCUGUAACGAGUGCUGAUGUUAAACAAAUAAAUACACAGAACAGAAAGCUUCAAAAACAAAGU